Molecule: ribosomal RNA, 253 nt
Filed under: uncultured bacterium
Lineage: Bacteria
Description: partial 16S ribosomal RNA
Rfam family: Bacterial small subunit ribosomal RNA
Source: RNAcentral
UACGUAGGGGGCAAGCGUUGUUCGGAAUUACUGGGCGUAAAGGGCGCGUAGGCGGCCCGCUAAGUCGAACGUGAAAUCCCCAGGCUCAACCUGGGAACUGCGUCCGAUACUGGCAGGCUUGAAUCCGGGAGAGGGAUGUGGAAUUCCAGGUGUAGCGGUGAAAUGCGUAGAUAUCUGGAGGAACACCGGUGGCGAAGGCGGCAUCCUGGACCGGUAUUGACGCUGAGGCGCGAAAGCUAGGGGAGCAAACGGG